GACCUGACUGCUAUCGGAUGAUACUAAGCCAUGCGAGUCUUUGUAGUAAUACAAGGCAUACGGCUCAGUAACACGUAGUCAACCUACCCUAUGGACGAGAAUAAUCUCGGGAAACUGAGCAUAAUUCUUGAUAGAUCAUAAUGCCUGGAAUGGUUUAUGGUUAAAAUGAUUCGUCGCCAUAGGAUGGGACUGCGGCCUAUCAGCUUGUUGGUGAGGUAAUGGCCCACCAAGACUAUUACAGGUACGGGCUCUGAGAGGAGUAGCCCGGAGAUGGGUACUGAGACACGGACCCAGGCCCUAUGGGGCGCAGCAGGCGAGAAAACUUUGCAAUGUGCGAAAGCACGACAAGGUUAAUCCGAGUGAUUUCUGCUAAAGAAAUCUUUUGCCAGUCAUAAAACCACUGGUGAAUAAGGGGUGGGCAAGUUCUGGUGUCAGCCGCCGCGGUAAAACCAGCACCUCAAGUGGUCAGGAUGAUUAUUGGGCCUAAAGCAUCCGUAGCCGGCUUUGUAAGUUUUCGGUUAAAUCCAUGUGCUCAACGCAUGGGCUGCCGAAAAUACUGCAUGGCUAGGGAGUGGGAGAGGUAGACGGUACUCAGUAGGAAGGGGUAAAAUCCUUUGAUCUAUUGAUGACCACCUGUGGCGAAGGCGGUCUACCAGAACACGUUCGACGGUGAGGGAUGAAAGCUGGGGGAGCAAACCGGAUUAGAUACCCGGGUAGUCCCAGCUGUAAACGAUGCAGACUCGAUGAUGCAUUGGCAUAAUAGCCAGUGCAGUGUCGCAGGGAAGCCGUUAAGUCUGCCGCCUGGGAAGUACGUACGCAAGUAUGAAACUUAAAGGAAUUGGCGGGGGAGCACCACAAGGGGUGAAGCCUGCGGUUCAUUGGAUUCACCGCCGGA
RNAcentral lists this ribosomal RNA (895 nucleotides) under uncultured marine group I thaumarchaeote. RNAcentral describes it as "SSU rRNA". It matches the Rfam family "Archaeal small subunit ribosomal RNA", at positions 20 to 922 of the family's 1478-position model. Lineage: Archaea; Thermoproteati; Nitrososphaerota. The record is from RNAcentral.